Molecule: unclassified non-coding RNA, 244 nt
Filed under: plant metagenome
Description: partial contains small subunit ribosomal RNA, internal transcribed spacer 1, and 5.8S ribosomal RNA
Source: RNAcentral
UCUCCGUUGGUGAACCGGCGGAGGGAUCAUUACCGAGUUUACAACUCCCAAACCCAAUGUGAACCAUACCAAACUGUUGCCUCGGCGGGGUCACGCCCCGGGUGCGUCGCAGCCCCGGAACCAGGCGCCCGCCGGAGGGACCAACCAAACUCUUUCUGUAGUCCCCUCGCGGAUGUUAUUUUUACAGUUCUGAGCAAAAAUCCAAAAUGAAUCAAAACUUUCAACAAUGGAUCUCUUGGUUCUG